This 524-nucleotide ribosomal RNA is filed under the name uncultured bacterium. RNAcentral describes it as "bacterial SSU rRNA". It matches the Rfam family "Bacterial small subunit ribosomal RNA", at positions 777 to 1300 of the family's 1533-position model. The record is from RNAcentral.
AAUAGAUACCCCGGUAGUCCACGCCCUAAACGAUGUACACUAGUUGUUGUGAGGCUCGACCUUGCAGUAAUGCAGUUAACACAUUAAGUGUACCGCCUGGGGAGUACGGUCGCAAGAUUAAAACUCAAAGGAAUAGACGGGGACCCGCACAAGCGGUGGAGCAUGUGGUUUAAUUCGACGAUACACGAAGAACCUUACCUGGACUUAACAUAGUAAGAAUGAUUUAGAGAUAGAUUAGUGUCUGCUUGCAGAAACUUGCAUACAGGUGCUGCACGGCUGUCGUCAGCUCGUGUCGUGAGAUGUUGGGUUAAGUCCCGCAACGAGCGCAACCCUCGUCCUUAGUUGCUAACAGUUCGGCUGAGAACUCUAAGGAGACUGCCUACGCAAGUAGGAGGAAGGUGAGGAUGACGUCAAGUCAUCAUGGCCCCUUAGUCCAGGGCUACACACGUGCUACAAUGGGGUAUCAAAGAGCAGCAAUACGGUGACGUGGAGCAAAUCUCAAAAAUGCCUCCCAGUUCGGAUUG